Molecule: ribosomal RNA, 460 nt
Filed under: uncultured bacterium
Lineage: Bacteria
Description: partial 16S ribosomal RNA
Rfam family: Bacterial small subunit ribosomal RNA
Source: RNAcentral
CCUACGGGUGGCAGCAGUGAGGAAUAUUGGUCAAUGGGCGCUAGCCUGAACCAGCCAAGUAGCGUGAAGGAUGACUGCCCUAUGGGUUGUAAACUUCUUCAAUAGGGGAAUACAGUCCAGUAUGUAUACUGCUUUGCAUGUACCUUACGAAUAAGGAUCGGAUCACGUCGUGCCAGCACCCGCGGUAAUACGGAGGAUGCGAGCGUUACCCGGAUUUAUUGGGUUGAAAGCGAACGUCGGCGGGUUGUUAAGUCAGUUGUGAAGGUAUGCGGCUCAACCUGAAAAUUGCAUUUGAUACUGGCAACCUGGAGUGCAGUAGAGGGUGGCGGAAUUCGUGGUGUAGCGGUGAAAUGCUUAGAUAUCUCGAAGAACUCCGAUGGCGAAGGCGGCCUUCUGGAAUGUAACUGACGCUGAUGCGCGAAAGUGUGGGUAGCAAACAGGAUUAGAUACCCGUGUAGUC